This 590-nucleotide long non-coding RNA is filed under the name Manihot esculenta (cassava). RNAcentral's name for it is "long non-coding RNA (MESC_LNC006296)". Lineage: Eukaryota; Viridiplantae; Streptophyta; Magnoliopsida; Malpighiales; Euphorbiaceae. The record is from RNAcentral.
GUAACGACCCGGAAACCGGACCGCUACCGGCGCUAGGAUUCAGGUCGGCUUAAGGCCGCCAGAACCCGUAGCAAGCCAAACAUACAUCCUGUGAACCUGUUUAAUCCCAUACAUGGUCAACAACAUCCAUAAAAAUUAAAACUUUUCUUUCAUUCAAACAUUUCUUUGCCAAGCCUAGCCUGUGCAUGCACAAACAUAACAUAAACCUCUCAUUGGAGUCCUCAUCAAAUACUCCAAUGAGGUAACAUAACAUAACAUAGGCUUGGAUUACAUAGGCAUCAUAAAAACAUUAUAUCUCAUACAAGACCAUGUGUACAGGGAAUACAACAGACUCUAGUCAAGCACAUUAUUAAACUUACAUUACAUUACAUCUCAUACUUUUACAUUACAAACAAACCAUGUCCACAGCUAAGCUAUUACAUAAACUUCUCUUACUCUGCUGACUUCUCUAUCUACUCUGCACCUGCAAGACUGGGGUUAGGGGAGAGGGGGUGAGCUAUAAAGCCCAAUGAGCAGAAACUAAAAACAUUUGCUUUAAUUCCUCCAUUUUUAGGUAUAUUAUUAUUCAUUUUAUUAUUAUUAUUAUUAUU